AUACGAAGGGGGCUAGCGUUGUUCGGAUUUACUGGGCGUAAAGCGCACGUAGGCGGAUUGAUUAGUUAGGGGUGAAAUCCCGAGGCUCAACCUCGGAACUGCCUUUAAUACUGUCAAUCUCGAGACCGGAAGAGGUGAGUGGAACUCCUAGUGUAGAGGUGGAAUUCGUAGAUAUUAGGAAGAACACCAGUGGCGAAGGCGGCUCACUGGUCCGGUACUGACGCUGAGGUGCGAAAGCGUGGGGAGCGAACAGGAUUAGAUACCCCUGUAGUCC
This 274-nucleotide ribosomal RNA is filed under the name uncultured bacterium. Its description in RNAcentral is "partial 16S ribosomal RNA". It matches the Rfam family "Bacterial small subunit ribosomal RNA", at positions 523 to 796 of the family's 1533-position model. The record is from RNAcentral.